This 483-nucleotide ribosomal RNA is filed under the name uncultured bacterium. RNAcentral's name for it is "bacterial SSU rRNA". It matches the Rfam family "Bacterial small subunit ribosomal RNA", at positions 28 to 526 of the family's 1533-position model. The record is from RNAcentral.
GAUGAACGCUGGCGGCGUGCCUAACACAUGCAAGUCGAGCGAUGAAGUUUCCUUCGGGAAACGGAUUAGCGGCGGACGGGUGAGUAACACGUGGGUAACCUGCCUCAUAGAGGGGAAUAGCCUUCCGAAAGGGAGAUUAAUACCGCAUAAUAUUAUCGAGUGGCAUCACUUGAUAAUCAAAGGAGCAAUCAGCUAUGAGAUGGACCCGCGUCGCAUUAGUUAGUUGGUGGGGUAACGGCCUACCAAGACGACGAUGCGUAGCCGACCUGAGAGGGUGAUCGGCCACAUUGGGACUGAGACACGGCCCAGACUCCUACGGGAGGCAGCAGUGGGGAAUAUUGCACAAUGGAGGAAACUCUGAUGCAGCAACGCCGCGUGAGCGAUGAAGGUCUUCGGAUCGUAAAGCUCUGUCUUUAGGGAUGAUAAUGACAGUACCUAAGGAGGAAGCCACGGCUAACUACGUGCCAGCCGCCGCCGUAAAAC